UACGGAGGAUCCGAGCGUUAUCCGGAUUUAUUGGGUUUAAAGGGAGCGUAGGUGGAUUGUUAAGUCAGUUGUGAAAGUUUGCGGCUCAACCGUAAAAUUGCAGUUGAAACUGGCAGUCUUGAGUACAGUAGAGGUGGGCGGAAUUCGUGGUGUAGCGGUGAAAUGCUUAGAUAUCACGAAGAACUCCGAUUGCGAAGGCAGCUCACUGGCCUGUAACUGACACUGAGGCUCGAAAGCGUGGGGAGCAAACAGG
Molecule: ribosomal RNA, 253 nt
Filed under: uncultured bacterium
Lineage: Bacteria
Description: partial 16S ribosomal RNA
Rfam family: Bacterial small subunit ribosomal RNA
Source: RNAcentral